GGGUUGUGAGGUUAAGCGACUAAGCGUACACGGUGGAUGCCCUGGCAGUCAGAGGCGAUGAAGGACGUGCUAAUCUGCGAAAAGCGUCGGUAAGGUGAUAUGAACCGUUACAGCCGGCGAUGUCCGAAUGGGGAAACCCAGUGCAAUUCGUUGCACUAUCGUUAACUGAAUACAUAGGUUAACGAGGCGAACCGGGGGAACUGAAACAUCUAAGUACCCCGAGGAAAAGAA
Molecule: ribosomal RNA, 231 nt
Filed under: Klebsiella pneumoniae
Lineage: Bacteria; Pseudomonadati; Pseudomonadota; Gammaproteobacteria; Enterobacterales; Enterobacteriaceae
Description: partial 23S ribosomal RNA
Rfam family: Bacterial large subunit ribosomal RNA
Source: RNAcentral